UACAUGCAAGUCGAGCGAACCAAUAAGAAGCUUGCUUUUUGUUGGUUAGCGGCGGACGGGUGAGUAACACGUGGGUAACCUGCCUGUAAGAUCGGGAUAACUCCGGGAAACCGGUGCUAAUACCGGAUAGAUUGUCUUUCCGCUUGGAGAGAUAAGGAAAGAUGGCUAUUGCCAUCACUUACAGAUGGGCCCGCGGCGCAUUAGCUAGUUGGUGAGGUAACGGCUCACCAAGGCGACGAUGCGUAGCCGACCUGAGAGGGUGAUCGGCCACACUGGGACUGAGACACGGCCCAGACUCCUACGGGAGGCAGCAGUAGGGAAUCUUCCGCAAUGGACGAAAGUCUGACGGAGCAACGCCGCGUGAGUGAAGAAGGUCUUCGGAUCGUAAAGCUCUGUUGUUAGGGAAGAACAAGUAUCGGAGGAAAUGCCGGUACCUUGACGGUACCUGACGAGAAAGCCACGGCUAACUACGUGCCAGCAGCCGCGGUAAUACGUAGGUGGCAAGCGUUGUCCGGAAUCAUUGGGCGUAAGCGC
This 534-nucleotide ribosomal RNA is filed under the name uncultured bacterium. RNAcentral describes it as "bacterial SSU rRNA". It matches the Rfam family "Bacterial small subunit ribosomal RNA", at positions 52 to 568 of the family's 1533-position model. The record is from RNAcentral.